This is a non-coding RNA of Triticum aestivum (bread wheat), 135 nucleotides long. NCBI's taxonomy places the organism in Eukaryota, Viridiplantae, Streptophyta, Magnoliopsida, Poales, Poaceae. The record is from Rfam.
AAAGUACUCCCUCCGUCCCAAAAUUCUUGUCUUAGAUUUGUCUAGAUACAGAUGUAUCAAGGCACAUUUUAGUAUUAGAUACAUCCGUAUGUAGACAAAUCUAAGACAAGAAAUUUGGGACAGAGGGAGUAGUUG